CCCUUAGAUGUCCUGGACCGCACGCGCGCUACACUGAUGCAUUCAACGAGUCUAAAACCUGCUCUGAUAGGGGUGGGUAAUCUUUUGAAUGUGCAUCGUGAUUGGGAUAGAUGAUUGCAAUUUUUCAUCUUCAACGAGGAAUGCCUAGUAAACGCAAGUCAUCAGCUUGCAUUGAUUACGUCCCUGCCCUUUGUACACACCGCCCGUCGCUCCUACCGAUUGAAUGAUCCGAUGAAUAUCAUGGAUUGAGGAUGCAAGCAGGUUCGCCUGUCUUCAUCUUCGAGAAGUGAAGUAAAUCUUAUCAUUUAGAGGAAGGAGAAGUCGUAACA
This 329-nucleotide ribosomal RNA is filed under the name uncultured eukaryote. RNAcentral's name for it is "partial 18S ribosomal RNA". It matches the Rfam family "Eukaryotic small subunit ribosomal RNA", at positions 1470 to 1796 of the family's 1831-position model. The record is from RNAcentral.